Long non-coding RNA from Osmia bicornis bicornis, 929 nucleotides. RefSeq lists it as uncharacterized. The record is from RefSeq and is a predicted model, not a curated record. Lineage: Eukaryota; Metazoa; Arthropoda; Insecta; Hymenoptera; Megachilidae. The transcript is spliced from 3 exons.
CAAUAUUUGUGCUCGUCGAAUAUAUUUCACGAACAUAGAUAUUUUCAUUUACAAGCCAUUAAUAACAGUAUUUCCGUUACGAAUGCUUAAUAAGAAGAAUGUUGUGUUGUAUAUUUCCACCCAGCCCAUCCCUGCUCACUAAGUUUUUCUUUCAGGAAUUGUUGUGGCCGCGCGCAAUGCGGUCGGUAGAGUCAGUGUUUGUACGAACAUAUUUCCAAUGUUUUGAUUUUUUCAAGGGUGAACUGGCCCUGAAUAGAGUUGCGUUUGUACAUACAGUUAGGAAUCACGCGAAAGUAGAGUCAGUGUUUGCUGCGUAUUAUAAAAUAUUUUCUAGAGCAUCGCGGCUCUGAUUUUUCUCUUUUCAUCGCGAAAGUAGAGUCACUUGAAUUGUUCGCCGGAAAUUUAUCACGGUCGCGUUACUAGUACUUAAUAUCUUUAUCUUUAUUUUUAAUUUUUUUUGUUUAAUUGUUCGAUAUCGGUAUUAGAGUCAAUCAUCCACCACUGAAGAGGAGUCUUGGGCGUUGCUCCAUAAGGAAAGAGUAUGAAUUUUUUGAUUUUGCCGAGUUCCUGGAUAUCCUGAUGAUGGCUUUCUUCACGACUUCCGUCUUGAUGAAUUUCUUCACGACUUCCGUCUUCUCCUACAAGGCAGCCUCCUACCUGGUGUUGUCCAUCCUCCUACUUACUUGACUGUCGGAAGAAGAGUAUAUCUGCGAACGGUGAGUCGCAUGUUUUAUGGUUCCUCUGGUGCCCAGUCAUGUCGUAGGACGAAUGGUCCGAAUCGACACGGGCUACUAGUUGUAUACGUGAUUUGCAAGCACAGUGACCAUGGGUAUGAUUAUACCCAUGAGUGGUAACAUUUUUAUUGUUUCAUUUCAUUUAGUUCAGGGUAGGUCUUCUUGUACUCCGCGUUUUAAUAUGUAUCAUUUCAA